CUUCCAUUGUUUCCUCUAAAGAGUGGGAGCAAUGACCUAACGGCAAGAGUAUCUAAUGACCAAUUAAUGAAAGAAUCCUUGGUGAUCCACAAAAAAUAAAGAAAGUCUUCUUGGUUGGCCCACCCAUCUUAAAUACAAAUGGAUCCUGCUUGACUGCAUGAUAACCAUUAAUUUAACUCAGCUCGCCACCUAACGAAAUGCGUCGUCUAGCUCCCAGA
This 218-nucleotide long non-coding RNA is filed under the name Elaeis guineensis (African oil palm). RNAcentral's name for it is "long non-coding RNA (EGUI_LNC011129)". The record is from RNAcentral. Lineage: Eukaryota; Viridiplantae; Streptophyta; Magnoliopsida; Arecales; Arecaceae.